RNAcentral lists this long non-coding RNA (832 nucleotides) under Marmota monax (woodchuck). Lineage: Eukaryota; Metazoa; Chordata; Mammalia; Rodentia; Sciuridae. The record is from RNAcentral.
CUGAAUCUCUGAGCAACCCUGAAGAUACUUCAGCUUUCCCAUUUAGAAGAUGGAGAUAAAAAUGGUACCUCUCCUUGUACAGGGUUGGUGUGAGGACUGAGUUAAUAUGAAGCCAUAAGAAGUGACUGACACAGAUAAGUGUUAUAUAAACUUAGCUGCUAUUAUCUCCUUUCCACAUACCUGGCGGGAUUCCCUGUAUAACUCAGGAACCUGACCAACCCCUGGGUCUCCCAUAGUUGCCCCUUAGUCUGGAUUUUCCCUCACGGUGACUGCUUUUGGGCAGAAAGGUCGGGAGCAUUCUGAGCUUCAACCAGGAUGUGAACAGCUUUCUCUGGGGAAAAGAUCCCCACACCCCAAGCCAGUGGGAGGCAGAAACUGGGCGCCCAGGUCAGAGUCUAAACAAGGAACUGCUCUCUGGGAUCCAGGUGAGGGUGUUAGGAAGAGAGCAAGAGAAAUGAAGGCUCCUGACUUGCUGUGCAUCCUGAGCAGCUAUCGCUCCUCUCUGAGCCUCUGGGAAGUGAAUCAACUUGGAGAUUCCAGCAGCCAAGAGGCCAGUGAGGCAAAUGAAGUUUGUUGGUUCUGGGCAAUAGGGGGUGGUAGGGACUACGGCCAGGGAACCUGACCCAUCCGCGAGGGGAGGGUACCACGCAGCCCCAGCCAACCUGCCGUAGAGCAAAGCGGGCUCCCCACGGGCAAAUCUUCUACUUUUGCAGAAUGGAAGUCCAACUGAAGUCUUUGUGCCAUCUUCUGCUAGUUUAGAGCUGGCUCCAUUAAAACAAAACACGGAGCAAGGCAAACAGCACAUGUCCCCAGGCCAGCUAGGGGCCUGCCA